GCGGGCGUAGCUCAGUUGGUAGAGCGUCAGCUUCCCAAGCUGAGGGUCGCGGGUUCGAAUCCCGUCGCCCGCUCUA
RNAcentral lists this transfer RNA (76 nucleotides) under Ignavibacteria bacterium. RNAcentral describes it as "tRNA-Gly". It matches the Rfam family "tRNA". Rfam says of the family: Transfer RNA (tRNA) molecules are approximately 80 nucleotides in length. Their secondary structure includes four short double-helical elements and three loops (D, anti-codon, and T loops). The record is from RNAcentral. Lineage: Bacteria; Pseudomonadati; Ignavibacteriota; Ignavibacteria.